GUCAGAAACACAGCCCGGAAACCACACCGCGACGGGCGUACCGGCAGCCUCGUCAGCAAGGCCCCGCAGCCCCACCCACGCAGACCACUGCGCCGAGCCACCAACUCAAACCCAGCCCUCGGAAGGAAACGACAACCGAGUAAAUAAGGAAUCGGGGGAUAUCAACCCCGCUCCUCCAUGGGCACCACAUCCCAACGGGGGGACCCGCAGAGCGGACUCCAGGG
RNAcentral lists this long non-coding RNA (224 nucleotides) under Pelobates cultripes (western spadefoot toad). Lineage: Eukaryota; Metazoa; Chordata; Amphibia; Anura; Pelobatidae. The record is from RNAcentral.